This 119-nucleotide ribosomal RNA is filed under the name Danio rerio (zebrafish). Lineage: Eukaryota; Metazoa; Chordata; Actinopteri; Cypriniformes; Danionidae. The record is from RNAcentral.
GCUUACGGCCAUACCACCCUGAACACGCCCGAUCUCGUCUGAUCUCGGAAGCUAAGCAGGGUCGGGCUUGGUUAGUACUUGGAUGGGAGACCGCCUGGGAAUACCAGGUGCUGUAAGCU